UUGGAAUUAAUGAGCCUUUGUUGACCGACGACGUGCUGCCUGUCGCAAAAAUAAAAGAAAAAUUUGCAGUCAAAACUAUACAUUUCGACAGGAAGCAUCAUUCCAAUCGAACGGUAUACUUCGAUCCAAAUAGAACAGCAGGAUUUCGAAACUCCAAACGAAGAAUAUGUGAUGGAAGUUUAAUGAGGACAGCCCUGACUGGCUUUGCGACGAAAUGUCAGAGAUAUGCUGUGAACGUGAAAACAUGGUGGGAAAGUUAGUUGUGCAGAAAGCGGGACAUAAAUAGCAUAUCCUUUCUCAAGAAUCCUGAAAUGAUUUCUCAUCAGAAUAGUGUAUUAUGGAAAAAGGAUGUACCCCGUCGCCAUUCUACGUGCCAUCGAUUUUUUCAUCAUUGUUCUAUCUGUGACAGGUUAAAGCAGGUCAACGAUCAAUAGAUGGCACCAUCUCACAAGACCUUAGUUGGAUUGAAAACCGUUAUGUGCUACAUAUCAUCUUUUUUAAGGCUUGUUUAUUCAUUUGACCUUAAACCCAUCGGCGUUUAUUUAUCAUGGUAUGUACAGAAAAGCAACAAUCACUUUUACUAAAACAAUAACUUCUGGUAAAGUAGUAAUGCCACAUGUUUACUAUAAUGAAAGUACGUGUACUGUAUAUCCCUCGUUCUGUGCCCCAUUUUGUUUUUUUGUUUUUUCACGAUGAUCUUUGUUGUCGCUACAUCAUAGUCUAGCAGACGGUUUCUUUUUCAUCACAGUGGUUAAGCCGGUUCUCUCAGAAACCGGCUUAGGUCUUUUCCUGCCCUCGUUUCAUUUAUUUGGGUUGCUUAGUGUGUCUGUCUCCGUGAUCAGUUGUUAAACAAGUGAAAUCAGGGCGAAAAUAACAUUGCCUUUCAGCUAAAUAUUUGUUGAAAUAGUAUGCAAGAUUUAUGUCCAGUGGCCAGUUGCAUUUGGUUCGUCAAGAACAGUACCACGAUCGCUGAGUAUUCUACAGAUUUCGAUUCUGCAAAGAUGUUGAGCGUCUUAUGGAUUUUGUGGAACCCUAUCGUUGGAUCUUUACUGGCCAGUAUUUUGGCCAUCUCUUACUGGGUUCAAACUCGUUUCGAACGUCAUAGUUGGCGAACCUACAAUUUGGUUCAGAGCCUCAUGGGGGAUUCGUUUUCUACUUUAUGCUGGGGGACCUUCGGAUGGGACUUGAAGGGUGAAAUGCUUUUCCCGAAAACGAUUGAUUAGCUUCAAGCCAAAAAAAAAAAAAAAGGGAAAAAAAAUUUCAAAAAUCAAUUUGAGCCAAACAGAAGAUUCACAUUAUGGAUAUGACAAAAACAGAUAAGUAAGCAAAUUGAAAAAAAAAAAAUGGACGUAGAAACGAAAUCAACUGUACAAAUAUUUCUAUUUUCGACCUGAAGAAAACAAUGAACUGAGGAAAUAAUUGUUUAAAUUUUUUUCAAAGCGUCGUUCCUCCAUGUUAUAAUAAACUUUAUCAGCACGUUUGUUGCUACAAAAUUC
Molecule: long non-coding RNA, 1496 nt
Organism: Daphnia carinata
Lineage: Eukaryota; Metazoa; Arthropoda; Branchiopoda; Diplostraca; Daphniidae
Exons: 2
Source: RefSeq, a predicted model, not a curated record